CGGGCCUGUGGUGUGCUGAGUCACCACCCUAGAAGCCCUCAGUGGGGUUUUUCCAUAACUUUGAGGUUUGGAAAUGUCCCAGGCUCUCCUGCUCUAGUUGGAAUCUCAUCUCUGGCGUUCCUAGAGGCUUUCUGCUCUCUCUGGGAAACAGCUGCUCAAAGACAGAAAGGCUGGAAAUGGAGCCCCAGGCCUUGCAUACACAAGAUUCUAGGAAAAAUUCAUGUGGUAUGAAAGAAAGCCCCAAGACAAGCCGGUAAAAGAAAAUGCAUGCUGCAAGAACACACUUCUAGAACACGAGCUCAUGAAUAUGAGUAAUACCUGAAGCGGCUCUAAGAGUACGGAAAAGGCGAUCGCCUCAGGGGAAACAGGACAAAGGCAAAGGAUCUGACAGGAUUUCUCUGUGUAGCCCUAGCUGUCCUGGGAACUCACACUGUAGACCAGGCUGGCCUCAAACUCACAGAGAUCCACCUGCUUCUGCCUCCUGAGAGCUGGGAUUAAAGGGGUGCACUUCCCACACCCGACUACAUAACUGAAUCAUUAAAAAUCGAGUAUGAGGAGCUGGAUAAAUGCACUGGCUGCUCUUCUAGAAGUCCCAGAUUCAGUCCUCAGCAUCUAAUGGCAUUGCACAACUAUUUGUAACUUCAGUUUCAGGGGCUCCGAUGCCCUCUUCUGACUUUUGUGGACAGUGGGUACACAUACGAGGUACACAUACAUGCAUGCAGGCAUAGCACUCCUACACAUAAAAGCAAAUAAGUAAAUCUUUAAAAAUUCAAUUUGACUUAUUUAUACCACUUUUUGUGUUUAUGUUUUCAGUACCAUGCUGGGAGAGAUAUUGCUCAACUAACCAAGCAAUAUUGGCUAUGUAUAUGUAUAUUUGCUAUGUAUAUGUGACAUAAUUAGACUCCUCUGGUUUAGCCAUUUACAAAUGGUGCCAUUGUUUUCUCCAUUUUAGCCAUAUGACUGCACAUGAUCAAAGAUGAUUGCCAUAUACCAAAUGAUCCAGGCUCCGUACAGAUACUCACCUUCUCUGUUAGUAUACUUGGUACAUGCCCAAGCUAUGUGAUCUUAAACAAAAGACCUAACCUCUCUGACAUUUGGCUGUUAUCCUGUCCAGGGUUUUCCGAGGGAGAGCUUGAGGAAAAGGUUUGUGAAGAGGUAGUUUGUUUGAGAAUGUGACUCCAGGAAGCAGGAAAGAUAGACGGGGACUGAAUCCUAGAAGAGCACCUGUAUAAGGAGGGUCAGCACACUGGCAAACGCUGUGGGUAUCUAGGGCUUCGUGCCAUCAUGACCUUCCCCAGAAACCCUGAAAUGUCUCAGAAUCGUCUUCUGGAGAACAAGUACUUACCCACUGGCUCUUAUCUCCUAACGGUCAAGGGAGACCCACAGACUAUAAGUUCCGCGUACUGAUGAGCUACAUGUGCUUAAGAUCGGUGCCCCCUUGGUUAUCCUACUUCUCUGUAUUUGGGAAACGUGUUCGCUAGGUUUUGGUCAACUUGACACAAUCUCGAUUCAUCUGCGAAGAAGGAACCACAAUUCCAGAAGACUGGCCUGUAGGGCAUUUUCUUUAUUAAUGGUUAAUGUGGGAGAACCUAGUCGGUUGGUUGGUGCCACCCUUGAGUAGGUGGUCCUGGAUGGUAUAUGAAUGCAAUCUGAGCAAACCGUGUAGAACAAGUAAGGAAGCACUUCUCUGCCAUGACCUCUGCAUCAGUUCCUGUCUCCACAUUCUUGUCCUGCUUGAGUUCCUGGCCUGAAUUCCUUGGAUGAUGAACUACAGUCUGAAUGAUGAAAUAAAC
This is a long non-coding RNA of Microtus oregoni (creeping vole), 1793 nucleotides long. RefSeq lists it as uncharacterized. The record is from RefSeq and is a predicted model, not a curated record. NCBI's taxonomy places the organism in Eukaryota, Metazoa, Chordata, Mammalia, Rodentia, Cricetidae. The transcript has 3 exons.